This 372-nucleotide transfer-messenger RNA is filed under the name uncultured Stackebrandtia sp. It matches the Rfam family "transfer-messenger RNA". Rfam says of the family: Bacterial tmRNA, also known as 10Sa RNA or SsrA, is named for its dual tRNA and mRNA-like properties. Its role is to liberate the mRNA from a stalled ribosome. The record is from RNAcentral. Lineage: Bacteria; Bacillati; Actinomycetota; Actinomycetes; Glycomycetales; Glycomycetaceae.
GGGGCCGAUCGGUUUCGACUUCGUACGCUGACGUAAGGGAAGCGGGUCGAGGAAGCCAGCGUCGUCUCGUUAAUCGUCGCUGGAAACCACAAGUGCGAAAUCUAAACGCGCUGACUUCGCCCUCGCUGCAUAAGCAGGGGUAGAAAGUCUGUCGGUCCGGGCGCGCGUCCGUCCCGGUCACCGGCAUCAUUUGAGGACGCUAGGCAUCUAGUUCGGCCACGGGGCUAGGUGCGACAUUCACAGUGGCUGGAGCCUGUCACACCAACUUGUUCGCGUGAUUGGUGAGGCUUGAGGAAAGGCACAGCGAACUGCACCCGGAGAAGCCUUACUGAACCGACGAAGGACCAGGGUUCGAUUCCCUGCGGCUCCACU